GGAGGAUUAGCUCAGCUGGGAGAGCACCUGCCUUACAAGCAGGGGGUCACAGGUUCGAGCCCUGUUAUCCUCCA
RNAcentral lists this transfer RNA (74 nucleotides) under Pediococcus acidilactici. RNAcentral describes it as "tRNA-Val". It matches the Rfam family "tRNA". Rfam says of the family: Transfer RNA (tRNA) molecules are approximately 80 nucleotides in length. Their secondary structure includes four short double-helical elements and three loops (D, anti-codon, and T loops). The record is from RNAcentral. Lineage: Bacteria; Bacillati; Bacillota; Bacilli; Lactobacillales; Lactobacillaceae.